GAUGAACGCUGGCGGCUUGCCUAAUACAUUCAAGUCGAUCGAACGGACGAGACUCUUGCUUCUCUGAUGUUAGCGGCGGACGGGUGAGUAACACUUUGAUAACCUACCUAUAAGACUUGGAUAACUUCGGGAAACCGGAGCUAAUACCGGAUGAUAUUUUGAACCGCAUGGUUCAAAAGUGAAAGACGGUCUUGCUGUCACUUAUAGAUGGAUCCGCGCUUCAUUAGCUAGUUGGUAAGGUAACGGCUUACCAAGGCAACGAUGCAUAGCCGACCUGAGAGAGUGAUCGGCCACACUGGAACUGAGAAAAGGUCGAGACUCCUACGUGAGGCAGGAGUAGGGAAUCUAAAGAGAUGGGCGAAAGCAUGACGGAACGAGGCCGCGCGAGUGAUGAAGGUCUUCGGAUCGUAAAACUCUAUGAUUAGGGAAGAACAUAUGUGAAAGUAACUGAGCACAUCUUGACGGUAGGUAAUUAGAAAAAGAAGGCUAACAACGUG
Molecule: ribosomal RNA, 497 nt
Filed under: uncultured bacterium
Lineage: Bacteria
Description: partial 16S ribosomal RNA
Rfam family: Bacterial small subunit ribosomal RNA
Source: RNAcentral